Molecule: ribosomal RNA, 459 nt
Filed under: uncultured bacterium
Lineage: Bacteria
Description: partial 16S ribosomal RNA
Rfam family: Bacterial small subunit ribosomal RNA
Source: RNAcentral
CCUACGGUGUGCAGCAGUGAUUAAUAUUUUUCCCUUUUCUCUCUCCUUCCCCAGCCAAUUAUCGUGAAGGAUGACUGCCCUAUGGGUUGUAAACUUCUUUUAUAUGGGAAUAAAGUGCAGUAUGUAUACUGCUUUGCAUGUACCUUAUGAAUAAGGAUCGGCUAACUCCGUGCCAGCAGCCGCGGUAAUACGGAGGAUCCGAGCGUUAUCCGGUUUUAUUGGGUUUAAAGGGAGCGUAGGCGGGUUGUUAAGUCAGUUGUGAAAGUUUGCGGCUCAACCGUAAAAUUGCAGUUGAUACUGGCAUCCUUGAGUACAGUAGAGGUAGGCGGAAUUCGUGGUGUAGCGGUGAAAUGCUUAGAUAUCACGAAGAACUCCAUUGCGAAGGCAGCCUGCUGGACUGUAACUGACGCUGAUGCUCGAAAGUGUGGGUAUCAAACAGGAUUAGAUACCCCUGUAGUC